GGGGGUGGAGCUCAAUGGUGCAGUGUUUGCCUAGAGCGCAUUAGGCCCUGGGUUCAAACCCUAGCACCGACA
RNAcentral lists this transfer RNA (72 nucleotides) under Heterocephalus glaber (naked mole-rat). It matches the Rfam family "tRNA". From Rfam's summary of the family: Transfer RNA (tRNA) molecules are approximately 80 nucleotides in length. Lineage: Eukaryota; Metazoa; Chordata; Mammalia; Rodentia; Bathyergidae. The record is from Rfam by way of RNAcentral.